Rhineura floridana is the source of this 5854-nucleotide RNA transcript. It is a transcript of the gene named neuritin-like, with no coding region annotated. The record is from RefSeq and is a predicted model, not a curated record. Lineage: Eukaryota; Metazoa; Chordata; Lepidosauria; Squamata; Rhineuridae. The transcript has 5 exons.
GGUUGUUGCACAGAUAAAAUGGGGAGGAGGAGAACCAUGUAUGCCACUUGGAGCUCUUUGGAGGAAUAGUGGUAUAUAAAUGUAAUGAAUAAAUCAGUAAUAUUGCAGACUAGAUUGAUUUGAGAUUUCAGCCUGUUUUGUGAUAUUUUGUGGUAUUAUUUCUUGAUACUUUUGUAGUUUUUUUCUUAUGUUCUGAACUCUUCUGGAUACAUUCUGUAAAGACUAUGCCAAAUGGACUAAAUGAAGAUUUAAAUUGGACCCCCUUGUUAUAACAAAAAGUACUUUGGGCUCCCUUGAAACAAAAAGUCCUUUGGGUCUCUGUGUCAAUAACUUUCUGUUAAGUAUCUUUGUGAUCUGCAUUCUGGAAUUUGUGUAUAUUAAUUCAUAAUUCAUACCUUUGCAAACUUUCUCUUGGCAUACAGGUGGUUUAUAGUUUCCCCAUGGUGAAGUGCCUCUAAUAACCCCCUAAGGGUUAAUGUAAAAUAAUCAAGCAAAUUCUGCUGAGAUAUGUUAUGCACUGAGUGGCUGUAGGAGUAGUCUCCACAGCUGAGUUACAUUUACAGAAAUUGUUUUCACACAAUGACUCAGCCGAUUAGGUAUUUAAAUACAACACCACCUCCGGGAUAAGUCAUGUGGAAAAUUUUUUAAAUAUGUCUUUAGAAUUGAGAGACAGACAGAAAGGAAUCAUUGAUUUAACAUACAAUCCACAUAUCAGUCCAUAUCUCAGCAUACAAAAUAUAAAAUGUAUAUCCAUUCUCAAGGCCACUGAAGAAGACUUUCUUGUCGAAACGCGUUUGGCUUUGUUACACGUUUUGUAUUUUCAUGGGCAUUAGGUUAUGCAUAUUGACCUUUGUUUAUAAGUUGCCCUUCAUGUUGAUAUUGAUAUUCCUUUGACCACAUCAUAUAUUUUGUUUCUCACUGUGCAUGGGCAUUGAGUUAUUUUCAAAAUGUUUCUGGCCUAUUUUGCGUUAUUACAUGAGAACACCUACAAGGAUUUCAUACUGUUUGUUUGUAUACAUUAAAUCUUUGAUAUUUUUUAUAACAUUGUUUUCAUGUCUGUACCUUAACUUUUUCUGGAGUGCUGUAGUGUACUCUGAACAUGGAAAUUGUCCUGGGGAAAAUCAAGCCCCUUUUCUCUGAGGGCAUUCCAAUGAUCACUGUCAAUGGGUUGCCAGCCAUUCCAAAAUACACCUUACAUGUCUGCUCUGAAUGAAGUCCCAUUGAAUUCAAUAGUACUUACUCCCAGGUAAGUGGAUAGAGGGAGUUAGGCUGCAAUUGUGUGCACAUUUUACCUGGUGUGAAACCUAUUAAACCUAUUAAACUCAAUAGCACUAACAUCUGAGUAGACAUACAUGGGAUUGCAAACACCUAUUGUGAUGGCUGGAUAUAUGAUGAGUCAAUUUUUUGCAGGUUAAUAUUUAAUGUUCCUCAAAAUAAUCACAUACGGCUGGUUUGGGAUUGAAAGACUAUUCUCUCUAAAAUGUACCUCUUUAUUAUUCGAUCAUAUCAAAUUAUGUAGGCUGUUUAAAGUAAAAUGCCUACAUCAUGGCUAAAGUUCACCUUUCUAAUUUAUUUUGUGUUAGAUGCUAUGGUUGCUAUCCACAACAGAUUCAGUGAUAUGAAUUGUUCUGUAAACAUGGAGGACAUUUUUAGCUAAUGCAAUUUUUUAAAAAAAUUGUGUGAGCCUAAGGGUUCUUUAUAUUUGGUUUUCUCAAACAACACACCCACAACAGGUUGCAUAGUUGGCAUGCUUUUGAAAUUAAAGGGCAUUUCAAAAGCAACUUGUGACAUACCGUGGGGUCAACUGUUCAAAGUCAAAAAUCUCACCAGACAACUGCAGACCCCUCACAUGAACUUAAACUACCCUUUAGAUCUUGGCCUGUAGGACACAUUUUUUCAGGGUAUAGAUUAUGGGAUAUAUAUUUUUAGUAUCGCUGACUGAGGCAGGAUGGCAAAUAAUGCCUCCCUCUGCUGCUGACUCAAGGUGUAAAGUAUCCAUGGAUGGCCAAGUUAUUGACACCUGAGGCAGGAAAUCCUACACGUGACUUUCCCUGGGAGUAAAAAAUUAAUAAUAAUAAAUAGCAAACAAUUGGCUAUUCAUGACACUCAUAUUAUCUGCUUAGCUUUAGAAGGACCGGCCCUGAUGGAAUUCUAAACCCCUAUGUCCUUGUGAAUAUUGCAUUUUUAGUACCCAUGCCACCUACAAAAGGUAUACUGAUCAUAGGACUAAUUCAGAGAAUACUAUACUACCACCAGUAACCAUCACUCUAUCCAAACAGUGACUGGGUUACUUGCUGGACUACGAAGAAAAAGCCAGCAGGUGGCACAAAACUUUUACACCAUACAAAUGUUAUAUAGUGCUAUGCCAAGUAAAGAGAUCGCUACUUUUUAUUUACUUUGAAUUCUUGACUGCUUGAUAAUGCUUAUCUAUUAUUUAAAUUUCACCUUUCCAUAUGACAGAGGCCAAGGUGCAUCAACAAAUAAGAAAAAAUACAGUGUAAAACACUCCCAUAAAAUACAGGAUGCAUCUGUUGUUAGCUGUAACUGUAUAUAUGCACAAUUAAAUGAAAUGGUGUACAGUAGGGCCCCACUCAUACGGCGGGUUACGUUCCGGACCCCUGCUGUAAAGCGAAAACCGCUGUAAAGCAGAACCCAUUGAAUAGAAUGGCGCACAAUGCCCAAAAACCGCUGUAAAAGCAGAACAAGCGCCGUAUGAGUAGGGCUUUAGUCUAAUUGUGUCUAAUUGAGACUGCUGUUUUAGCGAAUCGCUGUAAAGUGAAGUGCCGUAAAGUGGGGCCCUACUGUAUAAAACAAACAGGUAUGGGAUAUAUUGUUUGUUUUAUACACUUUUUUGUUUAUGCUGUUUUUAUGCAAUAUAUCCAGACUUUCUUUCCUUUUCCUCAUUUAUCUAAAGACAAACUUUUUCGUAUUUUCAAGAUAAGCUACUUGGCAAAGAGUUCUAGAAACUUUUUUACUUUAAAUAAUUAAUCACUAUUCCUAUCAAAGAAAUAAAAAAAAUGCAGUGAUGAAACAACUGAAGCCAUCUGAAACUGGUUACAUACAGAAUAAUGAAGGCUGUUUCUGAGCUUAAAAUAAUAAUAAUAAUAAUAUAAAAUAAAAAAACAGGUAAAAAACACAGAUCACUCAAAAUAGCCAGUUAAAAACAGCAAGAGCAGGAACAGAUAAAACAGAUCAGUCUGACAGGUCAAACGUCUGUCUAAAUAAAAGGGUAUUUACUUGUCAGAACUAGGUCACUAGAGAGGAAAUAAAUUCCUUAGGAAUUCCAGAGACUGGUUGCAGCCGCCAAAAAGGCCCUCUCUCAAGUCCUUUGCAAACACUCUUCCAGAUGUUGGCAGAACAGAGGAAAAAAGCCUCUCCCGGAGGUCUUAAAAGUUGGGCAGGUUUAUAUGAAAGGUGAUCCUUCAGAUAACCUAGUCCCAAGUUUAUUGUCAGUUGGUGGUCACUUAGCUCAUGAUAAUCUAAAUGGCUUUUGAGGGCUAGAAUAUAUUUUCUUCCAUUAGCAUUGAUAGCUGGUGGCUACUGAGUUAGAAAACUCACCCUAGGUGCUCAAGUAUGGGCUGGAGAAGCACUUGAUUGUUGCAAAAUAGCCAGUAAAAUAGGCUCAAGUCUGAGUUUUGCAGCUGUGGUAUUGUGAAACUGAUAUUACUUUAUACCAAGCUCAAUGUGUAUAUUAUUCAUCAAUAAAUGGCUAUGAUAAAAAUGUCCAAAGUCUCCAACAACAUUGGACUUCCAAAAUUGUCUAGCAUUUUAGGAUAUUUACCCAUCAGAAGCUAAAGUGCUUUUUGCACAACUGCCUUGUGCAAUGUGAUUGUAAAGUAUGCUUUCGCUGGAAUGUACAAUUGAUAUCUCUCCUACAUCAGCAUCACUUGCAUGUGAUAAAAAUAGCACCGGAGAAGCUAAGUGUGAUUUUAAGCACCUCCUGCAAAAACACUCUCAGAAUAGGGCUGCCAGCUAGCAAGGAAAAAAAGAACAAACAUCACAGUAGCCUAGCAUGCUCUUGCACCUUUAACAGCAGCUGGUUCUUUUUGAUGCAUAGAGUUCAGCAUGAUCACUUUCUAAUUUCACAGAUCAAGGUACUGUUAAAGGCAUAGGAGCAGAGGCCAACGUUCUUACUUACAAUCUUGAAAGUGACUGCUUUUCAAGUUUGGAUGCAUGAUAAGGAUCCAGUCACAAAGAGUUUGAAAGUUAGGGGUUAAAUAAUAGAAAAUGGACAUAUAUUUGUAAGCUUGAGCUUUUGUUACACCCAGACCCCAAAGUUAUAUCUGGUCAUCAGUGCCAUCCAAAGGACUUCUCAAUAUUCUGAAGUAGGGCUUGCCAUUGCAUCAGUUUCACAGGCAAGUUUCCAUAAGUAGACAACCAGGGGCCCUCCAGAUGCUGGCUGGAGCUGAUGGAACUUGUAGUACAAAACAUCUGGAGGGCACAGGUUAGGCAAGACUGAGCUAAUGAUUCAGUUUCAAGUUCCUAAAACUAGUUAGCCUUGCACCCUCUGUCUCAAAGAUAAACAGAGACCUUUUGCUUUGACUUCUCUCAGAAUAGGUCUUCUAGCAUGUGAAAAAGAAAGUGUCAGUUUAUUCAACCAGCUAGGGUACAUUUCUGGGUUGGGGAAUCUGCACCCCUUCAGAUGUUAUUGGCCAAAGUGUAUGAAGGUGUAAUAGUCUGGAUUAGACUCUCCUCCAGAUUCCCACUUUAAAUGCUUCAGGCUGCACUGCUAUGCACACAGUUAUUUGGAUGUAAACUCAGGGGUGUAGUUGUCCAGGGUUGCAGGGGGUCGUAGACUCAUUACUGUUUUGGGAGCAGGGUCCCAGCCAGAUCUCUAUGAAUGAGCCAAUCAGCAUGAAAGGGAGCAUGCCAGCCAUUGGUAAGUGUUCUUGUCUUUCCUGCUGAUUGCAGCUGAUGAGAGUGAAAGGAGCUGAGACAGCCACCAAGAAGACUCUUCUCAGUGGCUAACACACAGCUUCCCCUUUCAUGCUGAUUGACUCAUGGGGCAUCUGUUGUAGUGGAGUGUGGGCUUGGAACAGGACAGGGAGAGCAUGACACACAAGGGAAAGUGGAAAGGAGGCAUGGCUGUGACCAUCUGAAUUUGCCACUACCCUACUGUGUAAACCCCGCUGGACUCAACGCACUAGAGCAAACCUUCACCGGAUUUGCUUUGUUCACAUCCAGACCAAGAGAGCUCCUUCCCCAUCCGAAGCUUUUCAAACUCUCCUUCUGUGGUCCCUCACAUAUCUGCUGCACAAAAGCAUGGGGAGGGGGAUGCUCUACCCAGUAGCCCUGGUUGAUCCUUCUUGGAAUAAACCACCUUUCUCUUGUGUCUGUGUCUGUGUCUGUGUCUGUGUGUGUCUGGGCUCCGGGAAGCAAGUGACCUCUCCAGAUGGGCUGAGCAAACUCUUCCCGCCGGGAGGGGAUUGGAGGAGAGAACUGAACGGUUCCAAGUUGCGCUGCCGGGCGGCUGAGCCGGCGGAGCUUCUCCCUCGAAAUUACCCCGCGGGUCGCCUGCCUUGACCUACUCAUCGGGAGCACCGAGAAGAAGCCACUGGGGGAGGAAGCCAAAACAGGCAUCUUGUGUCCUAAGCGGGUUGGUGGAGGAAGCAAUGGGCCGGCUGAAGAAGGCGUGCUGUUGAUGCCGGGGAUGUACCGCAGCCGGAGCCCCUGAGCAGGGCAGAAGGCGGCGGCUAUGGGACAGCGACUGGGUACGGCGCUGUUGUUGGUCACGCUGGGGGGCAAUUUGCAUGGUUCCCUCUCUCCCAUGUUAUCAUCACUACACCCCUGUGAGGGUAUCUGCUCAGGUCACUGACUGCAGAAAUUCAGUGUGAAAAUAUUUACCAAAAUUUCU